Panicum virgatum (switchgrass) is the source of this 2809-nucleotide long non-coding RNA. RefSeq lists it as uncharacterized. The transcript has 7 exons. NCBI's taxonomy places the organism in Eukaryota, Viridiplantae, Streptophyta, Magnoliopsida, Poales, Poaceae. The record is from RefSeq and is a predicted model, not a curated record.
GAAUUGAAGUUCGAUACAAUUCAUGUGUAGCUACGUGAACUGGUGCAUACCAGAACACACAAGUAGUUAAGUUGCAGCAAAGGUAUAUGCAUUCAAUGGACAAGCUGGUAUUUGUUUCAAACCAUCUUAUUGAGUUUGUUUCUAGCAUCUUUGUUUGGUCGGUGCUUCGGUGAAGUUUUUGACAUAGAUUAGAGAAAAAGAAAGAUAGGAGCGACUAGAUUAGAGAAAAAGAGAGCCAUACAGGUGGUUGAUCAGCUAGCAUUGCUUCUGAGAAUUAGCUAGGGAAUCAUGUGAGAUUCCUGGGUCCUGUUUUUCCAGCAACCCCUAUGUAAUUCGAUCUUUCGAUGUCGCUUCUUGCUAGAAUUAGCUAGGGAAUCAUUUUUACAUCUUGCUAGAAUUAAUACCCUGUUCUUAGCUUUAUCUUUCUCAAAUAUGGAGAUAUCCUUCACAAAUGACAAACCAAUCAUUCAUUAAUCGUCUGGGUCUUACUUUUGCAGAGAUGCCUCAAUUGUGUGGUGGCCAGCUAUGUGCUCAACACAAGGCACCUAAGUACAAUGAUCUGUUUUGACUGAAUGAGUUUUCUUCUCUUAAGUUAUUAUUUGUGGUACAUGAGUUCUGGAAUAAUUUUUCUUCCUAAGUAGUAAAUUAUGCAUACAGCAAUCAAAAUCUACAAAUUCUUUUGCCUUUUCUGAUUGCAGUAGUUAACUAGUUAUAGGUCAGUUUUGGUUCUCAUGUUCCUCGAAUCCUAAUAUCUGCAUUUCUCUUUUAGAUCAUGUGCUGGAAAUGGAUAUAAUCAUUGGCUUACUGAAUAUGAGAAGGAUGAAGUUGUUUACUGAAUACCGAGUAAUGCAAGAGAUUUGUUGUGAUUGUAUACUUCACUAUUUUGAGAAUUCUAGAUAAAGAUCCUGCAGAAUAUAGAUGCUGGUUUCCCUGGUAAUGCUCUUCUGGCCUUCAGGCAGUUGCAGAUGCUGCUACCGCUAUUAAAACAAGGCUCUAUGAUAUCGGUAAGAGUUCAUUCUGUCUGAUUUUAAGUGAUUUUAUUUUGGAUUUGUUGGUGAAUUGAGUUUUAUUCUCUCGAUUCAAAGUAUUGUUGCUGGCCUGCAAUCCAUGACAGUGAACCAAGAUUGUCUUGAUGGAAUCCAUGAUAGAUAUUGUAAGCCUACAGCAAGGCGCCAUUUUUAGAUGCAUGUGCAAACACCUUUGUGUUUAGGUUGACCUAUUUUCUCAAGCACGUAAUUGCCUUUUCCCAAUAGGCCUCACAUCUGAGAACGUUGCACACUGAUUCGGCAUAGCAUGACUGUAACAAGAUCAGGCUGCUAUUGAGUCUCGAAGAAAGGCUGCUGCCGGUAAAUUCAAAGAAGAAAUUGUGCUUGCUCACACAAAGUCAUCACCUUAUGAAGAUUGUGGAUCCAAAAAUUUAUGAGGAAAAGGAAAUCAUUGUCUCAGAAUAUGAUAGAAUCUGAUCUGGUACUUCACUGGCAGUCCUUUCACCUCAAACCAUCAUUUUUGAAGGAUGGCAGCAGCUUGGCGCACAAGCUGUUCUACUACCUCAAGGGACUACGGCGAGGACCACAACAAGGCUUGCGGACGUACAUGGUUUAGGAGAAUCUAUUGCAUAGGCACUAUCCAGUGUGUAGCGAGCAGAACCUGGUGCACUUUAUUGGGCCCUCAGCGGACGCACAGGUUGUAAGGGUGCUGCAUCAGAUGCUGGCCGACAAGCGUGAUGCAGCUUCAGAUGGUUAGCGUCGCCUCCGUGCUAGAGGCUAUGGGCUAAGGUGUGGGGUCCUAGACAUUAUAUGUAAUAACCAUAUCAUUUUUUUCUCGUUGAAUUCGAAUGGUUGAUUCUCUAGACAGUAUGUACUUGUGUUUCUGGAGAUUACACUCUGUGGAAAAUAUUUCUGAAGCUAAACAUGUAACUGCAUUAUGUGAUGUUGUCUCAAAAAAAUUACAUUCUGUUAUGUUACUAUCUGUUAGCACUAUUAUCAACCAAAGUUGAUAGUUCUAUUGAAAUGAGAAGGGUGCAUGUGCAAGUCGGUAGCAAACGCAUGGGCAUUAACAUUAACAUUUGCACUUCUACCUCGACUUGUACACGCCAUCCUCGCCACCAGCACCUUGUCCUGGUCAGUAGCACCUGUGGUCCUGGGCGUCAUUAUCCUUGCCACUGGCUGUAUCGAAGCGCGCCGGUUCCCCAAACUCUGAACCCUCAUCUCUCAACCCCAUAGUGUAGGUCGGAUUGCUUGUUUGGUUUAAUUCGGGUGUGUGUAGUGCACCCAAAAGACGAUCCGCGGAGUCAUGUCUUCUUUCUUUCUCCCUCGCCUGGGGAAUUUUCUGGUCUUGUUUCGUUGUUUGUGCUUCAUGUUGGGUAUUGAUGAAUUUUGAUGCGACCACGACGUGCGACCAAGACGCCGGACGCGACCACGGCGAUGCCGCUGGCCCCAAUGGAUCAACGUCUUCCGCUUGGAGUUCAUGAAAGGUCGUAGGAGUUCAUAAAGACGGUGAGUGCCACAACAUUCUGUUUGCAAAUUUCUAAUCAAAAAAUGUACUUGUGAACUCUUCCGCAGAUGAUGAACUAAGAAACAUAAGGCGACACAAAGAUAGAGAUCGCUAUGCAAAGAUGCCAUUAGAUAAGAAGGCAGAACUUGAUGCAAGGAAAGGGAAAACUAUCAUCGAAGGAAGGUGUAGAAGCAAUCAGGACAUUCAUUUGUUUGUUCAAAUUUACAUGUAUGGUCAAAUUGACGUGCAUGUACAUGGUUUGUUAAAACACACUACACCCCAAUUGAAUGUGGGACUAGAAAUUGUUCUCAAAUUA